RNAcentral lists this ribosomal RNA (466 nucleotides) under uncultured bacterium. RNAcentral's name for it is "partial 16S ribosomal RNA". It matches the Rfam family "Bacterial small subunit ribosomal RNA", at positions 28 to 506 of the family's 1533-position model. The record is from RNAcentral.
GACGAACGCUGGCGGCGUGCUUAACACAUGCAAGUCGAACGGAAAGGCCUCUUUCGGGGGGUACUCGAGUGGCGAACGGGUGAGUAACACGUGAGUAACCUGCCCUUGACUUUGGGAUAACUUCAGGAAACUGGGGCUAAUACCGGAUAGGAGCUCCUGCUGCAUGGUGGGGGUUGGAAAGUUUCGGCGGUUGGGGAUGGACUCGCGGCUUAUCAGCUUGUUGGUGGGGUAGUGGCUUACCAAGGCUUUGACGGGUAGCCGGCCUGAGAGGGUGACCGGCCACAUGGGGAAUGAGAUACGGCCCAGACUCCUACGGGGGGCAGAGGGGGGGAAUUUUGCAAAAGGGGGGGAAGCCGGAUGCAGCAACGCCGGGGGGGGGAUGAGGGCCUGCGGGUUUAAAACCCUUUUCCCUCAGGAGGAAGUUUUGUGGGAGGGGGGGGGGAAAAAAACCCCGGGUAAAAUACGG